RNAcentral lists this ribosomal RNA (1331 nucleotides) under uncultured bacterium. RNAcentral describes it as "bacterial SSU rRNA". It matches the Rfam family "Bacterial small subunit ribosomal RNA", at positions 28 to 1381 of the family's 1533-position model. The record is from RNAcentral.
GACGAACGCUGGCGGCACGCUUAACACAUGCAAGUCGAACGAGAGAAGAGAAGCUUGCUUUUCUGAUCUAGUGGCGGACGGGUGAGUAACACGUGAGCAAUCUGCCUUUCAGAGGGGGAUACCGAUUGGAAACGAUCGUUAAUACCGCAUAAUAUAAUUGAACCGCAUGAUUUGAUUAUCAAAGAUUUAUCGCUGAAAGAUGAGCUCGCGUCUGAUUAGCUAGUUGGUAAGGUAACGGCUUACCAAGGCGACGAUCAGUAGCCGGACUGAGAGGUUGAUCGGCCACAUUGGGACUGAGACACGGCCCAGACUCCUACGGGAGGCAGCAGUGGGGAAUAUUGCACAAUGGAGGAAACUCUGAUGCAGCGAUGCCGCGUGAGGGAAGAAGGUUUUAGGAUUGUAAACCUCUGUCUUCAGGGACGAAAAAAGACGGUACCUGAGGAGGAAGCUCCGGCUAACUACGUGCCAGCAGCCGCGGUAAUACGUAGGGAGCGAGCGUUGUCCGGAAUUACUGGGUGUAAAGGGAGCGUAGGCGGGAUCGCAAGUCAGAUGUGAAAACUAUGGGCUUAACCCAUAAACUGCAUUUGAAACUGUGGUUCUUGAGUGAAGUAGAGGUAAGCGGAAUUCCUAGUGUAGCGGUGAAAUGCGUAGAUAUUAGGAGGAACAUCAGUGGCGAAGGCGGCUUACUGGGCUUUAACUGACGCUGAGGCUCGAAAGCGUGGGGAGCAAACAGGAUUAGAUACCCUGGUAGUCCACGCCGUAAACGAUGAUUACUAGGUGUGGGGGGACUGACCCCUUCCGUGCCGCAGCAAACGCAAUAAGUAAUCCACCUGGGGAGUACGACCGCAAGGUUGAAACUCAAAGGAAUUGACGGGGGCCCGCACAAGCAGUGGAGUAUGUGGAUUAAUUCGAAGCAACGCGAAGAACCUUACCAGGUCUUGACAUCGUAUGCAUAGCUCAGAGAUGAGUGAAAUUCUUCGGGACAUAUAGACAGGUGGUGCAUGGUUGUCGUCAGCUCGUGUCGUGAGAUGUUGGGUUAAGUCCCGCAACGAGCGCAACCCUUACUGUUAGUUGCUACGCAAGAGCACUCUAGCAGGACUGCCGUUGACAAAACGGAGGAAGGUGGGGAUGACGUCAAAUCAUCAUGCCCCUUAUGACCUGGGCCUCACACGUACUACAAUGGCUGUCAACAGAGGGAAGCAAAGCCGCGAGGUGGAGCGAACCCCUAAAAGCAGUCUUAGUUCGGAUUGUAGGCUGCAACCCGCCUACAUGAAGUCGGAAUUGCUAGUAAUCGCAGAUCAGCAUGCUGCGGUGAAUACGUUCCCGGGCCU